Molecule: unclassified non-coding RNA, 253 nt
Filed under: Patescibacteria group bacterium
Lineage: Bacteria
Description: contains 16S-23S intergenic spacer region
Rfam family: Bacterial small subunit ribosomal RNA
Source: RNAcentral
UACAGAGACCUCAAACGUUGUCCGGAUUCAUUGGGCGUAAAGCGUCCGCAGGUGGUAUGACAAGUUGUUGGUUAAAUCCUGGUGCUCAACAUCAGGACCGCUGACAAAACUAUCAUGCUCGAGGCUGGGAGAGGCAAGCGGAACUGCCGGUGUAGUCGUAAUAAGCGCUGAUAUCGGCAGGAACACCAAAGGCGAAGGCAGCUUGCUAGAACAUGCCUGACACUCAUGGACGAAAGCGUGGGGAGCGAAUGGG